UACAGAGGUCCCAAGCGUUGUUCGGAUUCACUGGGCGUAAAGGGUGCGUAGGUGGCAAGGUAAGUUUGAUGUGAAAUCUCCGGGCUUAACCCGGAAACUGCAUUGAAUACUAUCUCGCUCGAGGGUUGGAGGGGGGACUGGAAUACUUGGUGUAGCAGUGAAAUGCGUAGAUAUCAAGUGGAACACCAGUGGCGAAGGCGAGUCCCUGGACAACUCCUGACACUGAGGCACGAAAGCUAGGGGAGCAAACAGG
RNAcentral lists this ribosomal RNA (253 nucleotides) under uncultured bacterium. Its description in RNAcentral is "partial 16S ribosomal RNA". It matches the Rfam family "Bacterial small subunit ribosomal RNA", at positions 524 to 776 of the family's 1533-position model. The record is from RNAcentral.